GCGAACCGCGAAUGGCUCAUUAAAUCAGUUAUGGUUCACUAGAUCGUACAGUUUACAUGGAUAACUGUGGUAAUUCUAGAGCUAAUACAUGCACCCAGUCCGUUCCCUCGUGGAGCGGAUGCAGUUAUUUGCCCAAAACCAAUCCGGCCUUCGGGUCGGUCAAUUGGUGACUCUGAAUAACCGAAGCGGAGCGCAUGGUCUCGUACCGGCGCCAGAUCUUUCAAGUGUCUGACUUAUCAGCUUGUUGUUAGGUUAUGUUCCUAACAAGGCAUCAACGGGUAACGGAGUGUCAGGGCCCGACACCGGAGAGGGAGCCUGAGAAACGGCUACCACAUCCAAGGAAGGCAGCAGGCGCGCAAAUUACCCACUCCCGGCACGGGGAGGUAGUGACGAAAAAUAACGAUGCGAGAGCUUUAUGCUCCUCGUAAUCGGAAUGGGUACACUUUAAAUCCUUUAACGAGGAUCUAUUGGAGGGCAAGUCUGGUGCCAGCAGCCGCGGUAAUUCCAGCUCCAAUAGCGUAUAUUAAAGUUGCUGCGGUUAAAAAGCUCGUAGUUGGAUCUGGGUAGUCGAUGGACGGUGCGCUUUACGGCGUCUACUGUUCGUUCGGCACCACAUGCCGGCCAUGUCUUGCAUGCUCUUCACUGAGUGUGCUUGGCGACCGGAACGUUUACUUUGAAAAAAUUAGAGUGCUCAAAGCAGGCGUUAAGCCUUGCAUAAUGGUGCAUGGAAUAAUAGAAUAGGACCUCGGUUCUAUUUUGUUGGUUUUCGGAGCUCGAGGUAAUGAUUAAUAGGAACAGACGGGGGCAUUCGUAUUGCGGCGUUAGAGGUGAAAUUCUGAU
RNAcentral lists this ribosomal RNA (840 nucleotides) under Acutuncus antarcticus. RNAcentral describes it as "SSU rRNA". It matches the Rfam family "Eukaryotic small subunit ribosomal RNA", at positions 82 to 923 of the family's 1831-position model. The record is from RNAcentral. Lineage: Eukaryota; Metazoa; Tardigrada; Eutardigrada; Parachela; Hypsibiidae.